UACGCGCUGGGAACACAGGGCCUGGAGGCAUGAAGGUAAGGUGACCGCAGCUCAGAGAGGCUGAGUAGCUUCCCCAGGAUCACACAGCUGGGGAGUGAAGGAGCCCACACUCGCCACCCCAAACUGCCUCUCUACAUGCACAAGCCUUCUCUGAGGAUCCUGAAGGAAACUGAAUUUACUCACCAGCAUUGGAACAUUCCAUCUGCUGAGUCACACUCACUUCUCUUAUCAUCAUUAACCCUGCGUAGGGGCUCCUGGCGCCAGAAGGAGCAACCCAAAGCUCUUCGUCUUGGGGGCUGGGGAGGAAGAUGGUGCACCCUGGACAACCCUCAGAGGAGGAGAAAAUCACCGGCUCCCAAUUUGGGCAGCGAAUCAGAAGCAGCAUGGAUUCACUGCCUUUUGAAAUAGUGAAACUACCGUCAUUGGAGAAAGGCGAACUGUGGUUAGGCGACCUGGGAUUCCUCCGCUGGGAGAGAGGUUGAACUAGGUGAACUUGAAGGUUUCAUGCAAGGAAAGAGAAGUUAGCUGAUAUUUAUGUAGACCAGCUUCUAGAUUGACACUAAGUACAAAGCUAAUGUGUAUUUACUAUGGCUUUAAUCUAUACUGAUUAAGAAUGUCUCAUUUAUUCACCUGCACCUCAUGUUUUACUUGGCAUGUAUCUUUAUUAUAGUUAAUAUAAAUAUCACAUUAGCUGCUUACAGAACAUAUAGAAUUUGCUGUCCUGAGUUUAUUUACAAGUUAGUACCUCAUUUAUGAGACUUUUUACCCCUUGAGAACAUCCGCCUUCUUCUUGAAAACUGUGACUGGUUCAUUAUAAACAUAUAUUCGUAUAAUGGAGUUAAUGGGGUUAUCAUCUGUUUAUCUCUUUUAAUUAGGCCCUGAUUUGCCCAAACAAUUUCAGUUACUUUCUUGAUUACAGUUGGAGGAGCAUGUGGUUUGGUGUGGGCUUGGUAAAGAGCUGCUGUCUGCUUCUCUAAAUCCACGUAUAGUAUCAUAUGUUCAGGCUGAGUUAAUAUUUGAUAUGUGAGUUGUUCCCUUAUCUUGUUAGAUACUCUUGAUAAAAGAAUUCCCACUCAUGAAUUUUCAUGGAUAUACCUCUGGAAAGGAAUUGAGAAAAAUAAAUGUUGUGCUAUUUGGAAAGGUUGGGAGACACGUUGCAAUCGAG
RNAcentral lists this long non-coding RNA (1165 nucleotides) under Homo sapiens (human). RNAcentral describes it as "HSALNT0277674". Lineage: Eukaryota; Metazoa; Chordata; Mammalia; Primates; Hominidae. The record is from RNAcentral.